Molecule: long non-coding RNA, 387 nt
Filed under: Homo sapiens (human)
Lineage: Eukaryota; Metazoa; Chordata; Mammalia; Primates; Hominidae
Description: novel transcript
Source: RNAcentral
UGACAGCCCACUUGACAGGUGGUCAGGAAGAAGUCAAAUCUUCUAGAGGAGAAUCAACCACUGACCUACCAGAAUCCACCAUGGACCUGGAGUCACCCACAGAUGUGUACCUGGAGAACACCCAGGCUUUCCAAAAUGAAGCAAAUUCUCCAUUAGCUGUGAUGAUCACUGCUAUCCACUACUUUCUAAGAAGAUUCUAUGCUUUUGAGCAUGCCUACCACUACACUAUAGGAGAUCUAUUGUAGAAGACUAGAAAAACAUAGGAUGUGCCCAGCUGAGGCAUUGAUCCUGGCUGGGUAGGGGGAAUUGUUCAGGGAUGGGGAAGGGGCACUUCUUAGCUGUGUCUCAUCGAGUACGGGCUCAAUAAAUAAUUGAAUUUUGAGAGUG